This 253-nucleotide ribosomal RNA is filed under the name uncultured bacterium. RNAcentral's name for it is "partial 16S ribosomal RNA". It matches the Rfam family "Bacterial small subunit ribosomal RNA", at positions 524 to 776 of the family's 1533-position model. The record is from RNAcentral.
GACAGAGGUGCCAAGCGUUAGGCGGAAUCACUGGGCUUAAAGCGUGUGUAGGCGGAUCGUUAAGUACCUUGUGAAAUCCCACGGCUCAACCGUGGAACUGCUGGGUAUACUGGCGAUCUUGAGCCACCUAGGGGCAACUGGAACAAGCGGUGGAGCGGUGAAAUGCGUAGAUAUCGCUUGGAACGCCAAUGGUGAAAACAGGUUGCUGGGGGUGUGCUGACGCUGAGACACGAAAGCCAGGGGAGCGAACGGG